Molecule: long non-coding RNA, 422 nt
Organism: Choloepus didactylus (southern two-toed sloth)
Lineage: Eukaryota; Metazoa; Chordata; Mammalia; Pilosa; Megalonychidae
Exons: 3
Source: RefSeq, a predicted model, not a curated record
GGCUGGGUCCGAGAAGGCACCGUUGAGCACUGGAUUAACACCAGCAAUGCCCACCCUUUGAUUUCCUCUUAGCUUUGAGGGAUGUAUCAGCCAGAGACAUCGAACUUCAAAGCAUGAAGAGACGGGAGCAUGCAACCAGGCUGAACUCCUGCCCUCGGGAGCCGGGCCAUGGGGGUGAGGUUUAGAUUUCACCACUGCUGGCAGCAGGCUCAGGGGCCCCACCACCGGGCUUUCCGGGCACCUCCCAGACAAGAGGCUGUUUCAUCAUCAAACAUUCUCGGCUCUGCUCUGUGAUCACAUCACCCUUUCAUCCCUCGUCUCUACAGCCCAAACCCCUCCUGCCCCACUCUUGAGGGGCCUGUGACCUCGUGAUCAGCAAGGUGUCCCUACGCAAUCGCCACUUUCCCCCUUGCAAUAAUUCU